This is a long non-coding RNA of Centrocercus urophasianus (Greater sage-grouse), 5161 nucleotides long. RefSeq lists it as uncharacterized. Lineage: Eukaryota; Metazoa; Chordata; Aves; Galliformes; Phasianidae. The record is from RefSeq and is a predicted model, not a curated record. The transcript is spliced from 3 exons.
ACGGGGUGGGACUGGAUGAUCUCUGAGGUCCCCUUCAAUCCAAGCCAUUCUGUGGUUCCAUGAAAAAGAUCAAAAUUAUGCUCCCCAUAACCAAGCUUGAUGCAUCCUGAGAAAAACCUUCCCCAACUCAUUUUUACUGACAGCUGGAAUCCCAAACAAGAUUUAAAGCCUAAUGGAGCGAGACGCUCCGUAUUGUAAUUAACGCUGAUCCAGAAGGAAAAUACUGGAACUAUAAUUAGCGUGUAGCCAGUUGCAGAGGAAAGUGAUUACGCACAAGCCGGAGGCCCGGGUAGUUUGCGUGCCAGGGAAACAGCAGCUUGGGCUGGGAGCUGUGCUGUCCCACAGAGGGCAGCAGCAGGCAGGAGAUUGGCUGGUGCUGCUCAGCCGUGGCUUGAAGCCACAUUCGUGGUGAAUCAUGGCACAAACAACGCCGGGGAGGGCUGCAGGAAUGUCUGGGUGUGCUGUGCAAGGGUUUUUCCAGGCAGGUAGGCCUCCCCAAGCUGGCUGGCUGCAUCCAGAGCGCUCCGUCACCUUCGCUCCGCUCCUACAUUUGUUUGGUUUCUCUCCAGUGUGUCUCUGUGAACCGUGCAAUGUUUGCAGAUGUGCUUGUGUGCAAGAGAUACAGCGUUUCCCUUCUUGCUGCAGGAAGGCCUGUCUCCAGUGAUCAAAGACAACUGCAGGAGGAGAAUGAGGAAAUAAAGUGUUGGAGAAUGGAAUAGAAAACCUGCUUGGAAGAUCUCUGCUUGGAGUGAGACUCAAGGAAACACAUAUCCAUGUUUGCUGCCUCUGAUUCCCCUGUUGUUAGUGUGGGGGUAGCAGAAGGUAACCUCCUACUGUUAGGAGUAGGGAUAGAAGCCCAAUUCCUGGCUGUGGCCUGGGGGCUGAUGUAUUAUACAUCUGGGUAAGCCAAAACUAACAGAGGGAGAGGAAGAUCUGCCAAGUCACAGUCAGAAGAGUCUGGUAGUCCUUGAGGACCACCAGGGGGAGCAUUGAUGAACUCAUUCUCUGCACUGCUUCUACCUGGAAAAGAUACUCUACUGAUAACAUGCACUUGGGAUUGAAGUGUUGAGAGAGGCACUCGAGCAGGUGAGCAGUUUAACCUGUUCUCACUCCAGCCCCGACUUGCUGUCUUAUCUAUAGUGGAUUGAAGAGAUGUAGUUACAAAACACAAGUAUUGGAAAAAAAAUGCCUUCAGAGCCUGGAUUUUGCAGAAGUACAGUUUGGCUUUAAAGAACAGCAGGAGGGAAAAGAAGAAAAAUCCUAUUGCUAAGGCAUUUUUCACAGGCAGCCAAGCAUGGUUUGAGCAGAGACCAGUGACAUGAUACGAGGAAUCCUGGAGUGGAUCGGGGAGCCCAGAUGCAGCAAAUCCCUGAGCCCGACUGACAAACACAUCCCUGCAUUGCGGUGACGAUGAAGUGUGUGACUUAGCAAAGCAUUUACUGGGGAUGUGUAGUUCUGCAGCAGCCUGGGGAGCUCUGAGAUGCAGCCUUGCGCAGUCUCUCCUCCCGACACAGCAUGGGGAGGAGGCAUUCCCAUUGCAGGGUGCCCCAGUGCCUUGUGCACGUGCUCUUGGCUUGUGCUUGGCAGCUGGGUAAGCUGAAUAGACACUUUUUGGCCUGGAAUUGAAAAUCCCAUGUUGCCAGCAGUCCUGGUUUGGCUGCAACUCCCUCAGGUUCCCUUGGAAACUUUAGUGCUGGCUUGAAUCUGGACUGCGAAAUAGCAGGAGCAGUGGCUCUGCCUCCAGCCUGGCCAUUCAUCUUUCUCUGCUUGCUGUGGAUCCAGUGCCAGGGCACAGCAUGCAUAGGGCUGGAAAUAAAAAGGGAACUGAAACCCAGGUGGAGGUAUAGAGUUGUGUGUGUAUUUCUCAGGGAUCAUCCCAGCCUUUUGUGCACUCUAGCAUGGUGUGGCAGAUUUUGUCCCUAGGGACAGCUUUGGGAUAGUGUGGGCUGGGUAGAAGACUCAAAGAGUCAUUGAGUGUUUAACUCUGUGGUUGAGAGCUGUGCCCUGCUCCUCGCUCUCAGUGCCAGGAGCAAAACAGCUCAGUCCUGUAAGCCUGGAUCUCACUUUUGAAGUGCAGUCCCCUGCAGCAGCUGCUGGAGGCAGCCGGAGCCUUUGUUUACCCGCUAAUCCUCCCAUUUCCACUUUUCCUCUCUGACAAGGGAAAAUGUCGCAAAACAGGUUGAAGGUGAGUGGGUAUGUGGUGAUGUGAGCGUGUGCUUGGCUGAAACUGGGAAAGGUUCUGUUUGCGGGGCAGGGCUGAGCAUGCAGUGUGACUCAGUGUCCCAGGCUUCAUGUUGUGGGCUGCUGGCCAUGUUUGACCUCCUGGCUUGUGGGGUGGUAGAGGCAGUGUGGUGAUGAGGCAGGGACCAUAGAACGAUGGAAUACUCUGAGUUGGAAAGGACCCAUAAGGAUCAUCAAGUCUAAUUCCUGGUUCUACACAGGACCACUCAAUCAAAUCAGACCCUAUGUCUGAGAGCCCCGUCAAGGUGCUUCUAUAGCUCUGGCAAACUCAAGGCCAUGACCACUGCCCUGGGGAGCCUGUUCCAACCCUGUGCUGAAGAACUUUUUCAUGAUAUUCAGCCUGAAACCCUGGAAAAACAGAAGGGAAUCCAGUAAGUAACUGGUUCACAGCAGCCUGCAUUUAGGCCAUGCCUUGACUUUGGACUCAUCUUUGGGCUCAGAGACCUCUUAGCUCCGGUGAUCAUCACCCAUCCAUUUGCUGGUGGGCACUGGGCUCUCUCCACCUCUCCCUGAGCUGGUUCCUUGGGGAGCUGUGUCUCCAUCAGAGCCAAUGAGGAAAGAUUCACACCCCUUUCCUAAUGAGACAUAGUGAGUAAUGGAGAUGUUCCUCAGGGACAGUGUUGUAAGCGGUGCUACAUGCAUGGUCAGGACCAGAGAGCAGGUUUCCACUAGCUUCUCCCUGCUGUUGUGCAGCAGCAGACACUGAUGCAUGUCCCAUCUUGACAGCAGUGAUAAGCUGUGUGGUGGUGGGAGCUUAUGUCACAGCUGCAGCCACCAUUCCUCUCAUGGUUCUUAUCAAAUCUCCUGGCUUGCCAAGUCUGUUGCACGCCGGAUGGCAGUGUGUUUGGUUCUCCAUGUGAUAAGAUUUGUCUGGUGUGAGUCGUGUCCCAAGCAUUUUGCUUGUAGUCCUCUCCCCCCUCUUGGGAGUGAGUGAUCUCUGUCUAGGAAUUGGACUGCAAUUAGGGCAGUGUCUGCUUCGAGGCAGGAUGGGCUACAGAGGGGAGCAGCGCAAAGCAGCCCAGAGAGCAACCAGCGCCUGGCCUGGCUCUGCUAGCAGUAAUGGGGAAAACAGCAGCAGCAGAAGGAGACAUGGGCUGGAGGGAAGGGAGCCAGAGAGAGCAAAUGGCGCAGCACGACCACUGAGAACGCAAAAUAAACAUCCUUUGUGGCCAAGCAAGGGCUUUAUAAACUACUGACUGUCUUGGCGGCUGCAUGAGAAGGGUCAGAAAUGGGAAUAAAGGCUCAUGGGAGCAUCAAGAGAAAGGACAGCAUUCCAUAUGGGACUGAUCAGCCGAACAGCAUGUCCUCAAGUGCAUGACACGUCCCUCAGUGCCGAGUAUAGCCCUAGAAAGGGAGGUUCGAUGUCCCAGCUGCUGCUGAUCACCCUGUGGUACUGUGCAAGUGCUCACUGACCCUGCAGGUCAGCUGCUGGCUUUGAGAGCUUUGGGAGCUCCAAGCUAGGCUGUGGCUGUAGUUCUACUCAGGCCUGCAUGAGUGGAGCCUCUGCACUGUUCCCUGGAGUUUCUGCAGUGCUUUCAGUCUGUCUCUUCUCCAUGUGGCUUGCUCUGGAGGUCCAUCUGUGCAUUUCUGGUGCCCUUUGCUCUGGUAGCAGGGAAGGCAGGAACAGGGAGCGUCAGUUCUGUGGGCCUGGGCUUUUCUUAGGUUUCCUUUAGAUGCUUGCAGUUCUCUCUUUAGAAGCCCAUUUCCCGCACUGAGUCACUCAUUUUGGGAUUUUGCUUCCCUUUUUUUAGAGCUUUUCUUUUCCAAUUCCAUCUGGUUUGGUUUUUACUGUUUCAUUUUGCAGGACCAUCAAAGGGAAUGCAUUCUAGCUAAUUUCAGAGCAGCAGAAGCAGAUAGUUUCAACUUGACAGCUCCUUCCUCUGCAGACCUUAGCCACAGCCUUGGAUCCAGAGCCCCUCCAGACCCUCUCAAAGCUGAUGGGUGGAUGAGCCACCCUUGGCAUCGCUCCUCAUGCGUGUGACUCAGACAGAUUCUGCUUGUCUGAAGGAUUCCUGCAAAUCCUCAGAGUUGUCCAACCCGCCUCGGCGCAGCGCUGGAACCUGUGAGAAAGGCGCUGGGAGUGAGCUGUGCAGCACCAGCAGCCUUGUUCCGUGGCACUGGGCAUGGAGGCUGUGCCUGCAUUCUCACUGCAUGCCCUGGCUGCGGUGUGGGGCUGGACCCCAGCAUUGCUGCUCUGAGGUUGGUGGAAGGAGGUCUCCGUGGACAUUUUGUGUAUGGCGCAAUUCUGCUUUUCUCUUCUGCUUGUUCAAGUUCUAGUCAGCUGGCCUCAUGCUGUCUCUGCUGUGGGAAGUGCUCUCCUUGAAUUCAGGGAAGCUGGGCUUGGGGCGUCUUGGAAGUCCCCUUGUUUCCAUUGUUGGAAGGAGACCAUUCAUUUUUAAUGCCUCUGGUUUUUGGAUUUAAUUGGAACCACCCAAUGGCUAAUUUUUUUCAGAGGCACUCAAUGCCUUAGUAACUUCACUAAUAGUAGAUGGUGCAAUGAGAGAUCAGCAUCUCCAACAUCUGAGCUACAUUAGCCAGGUGAGCCCAGCUUCCUUUCAGCUUCUUUGCAAGGACAAGCUUGCAAAGCUGAUUUUUAAUUUUAGAAAAUCUGCCCAUGGGAGUGAGAGUCCAAACAAGAAGAGUUGUUUCAGGGUGUAAGCUUGUGUGUCUAUGCCUCAGUUUUCCCGUGUGCAAGAUGAGGAGCCUGCUGUCUUCCUUACUCAGUGGUGAAAGAAAGCUGUUUGGGAUCAUAAUCUUUUGGCAUAAAAUGCAUGUGGAACACAAAACCUCAUGAAGCUGAUUCUUUGUAGGAAGCUCUGUGGAAGAGACUUUACCUGUUUAGCUUAUAUACAACAAAGCAGGGAGAUCCCAAAAAAUAUGAGAGUGAAAAAAGCCAUGAGCUUUCUACGCAUCUUCUCCU